GCUUGAUUAGUCUAGCUGGUAGGACGCCCGCAUUCUAUUUGAAACUUGGGUAACCCAGGUUCGAGUCCUGGAUCGAGCAACUUUUC
Molecule: transfer RNA, 86 nt
Filed under: Wallacemonas collosoma
Lineage: Eukaryota; Euglenozoa; Kinetoplastea; Trypanosomatida; Trypanosomatidae
Description: small RNA-85
Rfam family: tRNA
About the family: Transfer RNA (tRNA) molecules are approximately 80 nucleotides in length. Their secondary structure includes four short double-helical elements and three loops (D, anti-codon, and T loops). Further hydrogen bonds mediate the characteristic L-shaped molecular structure. tRNAs have two regions of fundamental functional importance: the anti-codon, which is responsible for specific mRNA codon recognition, and the 3' end, to which the tRNAs corresponding amino acid is attached (by aminoacyl-tRNA synthetases). tRNAs cope with the degeneracy of the genetic code in two manners: having more than one tRNA (with a specific anti-codon) for a particular amino acid; and 'wobble' base-pairing, i.e. permitting non-standard base-pairing at the 3rd anti-codon position.
Source: RNAcentral